Molecule: ribosomal RNA, 465 nt
Filed under: uncultured bacterium
Lineage: Bacteria
Description: partial 16S ribosomal RNA
Rfam family: Bacterial small subunit ribosomal RNA
Source: RNAcentral
GACGAACGCUGGCGGCGUGCUUAACACAUGCAAGUCGAGCGGUAAGGCCCCUUCGGGGGUACACGAGCGGCGCACGGGUGCGUAACACGUGAGCAAUCUGCCCAUCACAUCGGGAUAACCCCGGGAAACCGAAGCUAAUACCGAAUACGACCACCUCCGGCAUCGGAUGGUGGUGGAAAGUUCCGGCGGUGAUGGAUGAGCUCGCGGCCUAUCAGCUUGUUGGUGGGGUAACGGCCCACCAAGGCUUCGACGGGUAGCCGGCCUGAGAGGGUGACCGGCCACACUGGGACUGAGACACGGCCCAGACUCCUACGGGAGGCAGCAGUGGGGAAUAUUGGACAAUGGGCGAAAGCCUGAUCCAGCAACGCCGCGUGAGGGAUGACGGCCUUCGGGUUGUAAACCUCUUUCAGCAGGGACGAAGCGCAAGUGACGGUACCUGCAGAAGAAGCACCGGCCAACUACGUG